UAGGUUCAUGUCGAGUGGAUCCG
This 23-nucleotide non-coding RNA is filed under the name Arabidopsis thaliana (thale cress). Lineage: Eukaryota; Viridiplantae; Streptophyta; Magnoliopsida; Brassicales; Brassicaceae. The record is from RNAcentral.